GAGUACGGCCGCAAGGCUGAAACUUAAAGGAAUUGGCGGGGGAGCACUACAACGGGUGGAGCCUGCGGUUUAAUUGGACUCAACGCCGGAAAACUCACCGGGGGCGACAGCAAUAUGUAGGUCAGGUUAAAGGUCUUACCUGAAUCGCUGAGAGGAGGUGCAUGGCCGUCGUCAGUUCGUACUGUGAAGCAUCCUGUUAAGUCAGGCAACGAGCAAGACCCGUGCCCACUGUUACCAGCAUAUCCUUUAUGGAUGAUGGGGACUCUGUGGGGGCCGCUGCUGCUAAAGCAGAGGAAGGUGCGGGCUACGGUAGGUCAGUAUGCCCCGAAUCUCCCGGGCUACACGCGGGCUACAAUGGUUGGGACAAUGGGUAUCUACUCCGAAAGGAGUUGGCAAUCUCUUAAACCCAAUCGUAGUUCGAAUUGAGGGCUGUAACUCGCCCUCAUGAAGCUGGAAUCCGUAGUAAUCGCGUUUCAACAUAGCGCGGUGAAUCUGUCCCUGCUCCUUGCACACACCGCCCGUCAAACCAUCCGAGUGAGGUAUGGGUGAGGGCACGAACUUAGUGUCGUGCUCGAACCUAAAUUUCGCAAGGAGGGUUAAGUCGUAACAAGGUAGCCGUAGGGGAAUCUGCGGCUGGAUCACCUCCU
RNAcentral lists this ribosomal RNA (647 nucleotides) under uncultured archaeon. RNAcentral's name for it is "bacterial SSU rRNA". It matches the Rfam family "Archaeal small subunit ribosomal RNA", at positions 833 to 1478 of the family's 1478-position model. The record is from RNAcentral.